Molecule: ribosomal RNA, 425 nt
Filed under: uncultured bacterium
Lineage: Bacteria
Description: bacterial SSU rRNA
Rfam family: Bacterial small subunit ribosomal RNA
Source: RNAcentral
ACUCCUACGGGAGGCAGCAGUGGGGAAUAUUGCACAAUGGGGGAAACCCUGAUGCAGCGACGCCGCGUGAGUGAAGAAGUAUUUCGGUACGUAAAGCUCUAUCAGCAGGGAAGAAAAUGACGGUACCUGACUAAGAAGCCCCGGCUAACUACGUGCCAGCAGCCGCGGUAAUACGUAGGGGGCAAGCGUUAUCCGGAUUUACUGGGUGUAAAGGGAGCGUAGACGGCAGGGCAAGUCUGGAGUGAAAGCCCGGGGCUCAACCCCGGGACUGCUUUGGAAACUGCCUAGCUAGAGUGCAGGAGAGGUAAGAGGAAUUCCUAGUGUAGCGGUGAAAUGCGUAGAUAUUAGGAGGAACACCAGUGGCGAAGGCGUCUUACUGGACUGUAACUGACGUUGAGGCUCGAAAGCGUGGGGAGCAAACAGGA